RNAcentral lists this ribosomal RNA (670 nucleotides) under uncultured Haplosporidia. Its description in RNAcentral is "SSU rRNA". It matches the Rfam family "Eukaryotic small subunit ribosomal RNA", at positions 1120 to 1819 of the family's 1831-position model. The record is from RNAcentral. Lineage: Eukaryota; Endomyxa; Ascetosporea; Haplosporida.
GGACUCGGGGGGAAGUAUGCUCGCAAGAGUGAAACUUAAAGGAAUUGACGGAAUAGCACCACAAGAUGUGGAGCUUGCGGCUUAAUUUGAUUCAACACGGGAAAACUUACCAGGUCCAGACAUUAGUGAGGAUUGACAGAUUCAAGUUCUUUCUUGAUUCUAUGCAUGGUGGUGCAUGGCCGUUCUUAGUUGGUGGAGUGAUCUGUCUGGUUAAUUCCGAUAACGAACGAGACCUCAGCCAUCUAACUAGCUGUCACUAUGGAAAAUAGUGCUCGACCCAGGUCGAGUUCAGCUUCUUAGAGGGACAAUCUGUGUUCAGCAGAUGGAAGAUUGAGGCAAUAACAGGUCAGUGAUGCCCUUAGAUGCUCUGGGCUGCACGCGCGCUACAAUGACGCRCGCAACGAGUUCCUUGCUCGAAAGAGCUGGGCAAUCUUUAAUGUGCGUCCAAGUAGGGAUAGAUGAUUGUAAUUUUUCAUCUUGAACAAGGAAUAUCUAGUAAACGCAAGUCAUCAACUUGCAUUGAUUACGUCCCUGCCAUUUGUACACACCGCCCGUCGCUUCUACCGAUUGAAUUACUGGGUGAACUGGAUGGAUUGGACUUGGUUUCCGAACCAUGUUUUAGAAGUCCCGUGAACCCAGUAAUUUAGAGGAAGGAAAAGUCGUAACAAGG